RNAcentral lists this ribosomal RNA (786 nucleotides) under uncultured fungus. RNAcentral's name for it is "eukaryotic LSU rRNA". It matches the Rfam family "Eukaryotic large subunit ribosomal RNA", at positions 24 to 664 of the family's 3401-position model. Lineage: Eukaryota; Fungi. The record is from RNAcentral.
CCCGCUGAACUUAAGCAUAUCAAUAAGCGGAGGAAAAGAAACUAACAAGGAUUCCCCUAGUAACGGCGAGUGAAGCGGGAUGAGCUCAAAUUUAAAAUCUGGCUGGUUUACUAGUCCGAAUUGUAGUUUAUAGAAGCGUUUUCGGUGGCAGCCUGGGUAUAAAUCCUUUGGAAUAGGGUAUCAUAGAGGGUGAGAAUCCCGUCUUUGACUCAGUGCAUGCUACUAUGUGAUACGUUUUCAAAGAGUCGAGUUGUUUGGGAAUGCAGCUCAAAAUGGGUGGUAAAUUUCAUCUAAGGCUAAAUAUUGGCGAGAGACCGAUAGCGAACAAGUACCGUGAGGGAAAGAUGAAAAGAACUUUGAAAAGAGAGUUAAACAGUGCGUGAAAUUGUUGAAAGGGAAACGUUUGACACCAGUUAUGCGGGUGGAAAAUCAGUCUUUUGCAGUGGGGAGUUGUGGGCGUUCAGACCGCAAGGCUGGCGUUUGCUUCAUCUUUGUUGUAAGUGAUGCACUUUUUCAUUUGCAGGUCAACAUCAGUUUGCUUUGCUGGACAAAACCCCAAGGGAAGGUGGCAGCUUAGGCUGUGUUAUAGCCCUGGGGCGAUACAAGUGGAGUGGACUGAGGUUUCGCAGUGUGUGCUCUCGGGCAAGGCUGACUGGGUGCUAUGGGAUCGUUCGGCGUACAAUGCAUGCAUUUUGCGUCGUGUCUUUUUCAUACUCGCUCAACUCGGCUCUUCCACACUGUAGGAUGUUGACUUAAUGGUUUUAAACGACCCGUCUUGAAACACGG